GUGCCGGUAAGCCGAAUAGGUCCGGAAUGGUAUUGGAGUAAUCCAAGGUAAAAGGCUAUUAGCAUCUGACUACGGAUCAGAAGGUUGGGGGUUCGAAUCCCUCCGGGCGCA
RNAcentral lists this transfer RNA (111 nucleotides) under Corynebacterium ulcerans. RNAcentral describes it as "tRNA-Ser". It matches the Rfam family "tRNA". From Rfam's summary of the family: Transfer RNA (tRNA) molecules are approximately 80 nucleotides in length. The record is from RNAcentral. Lineage: Bacteria; Bacillati; Actinomycetota; Actinomycetes; Mycobacteriales; Corynebacteriaceae.